UGAAGUAAGUAAGGGCGUACGGUGAAUGCCUUGGUGCCAACAGGCGAAGAAGGACGCGGCAAGCUGCGAAAAUCCUCGGGAAGCUGCAAGCAAGCGAUGAUCCGGGGGUAUCCGAAUGGGGUAACCUGAUCGAGGCAAUACUCGAUCGUUCAUACCUGAAUACAUAGGGUAUGAAACGCGAAACCCGCUGAAGUGAAACAUCUCAGUAAGCGGAGGAAAAGAAAGAGAAAUCGAUUCCGUAAGUAGUGGCGAGCGAAAGCGGAUGGAGCCCAAACCGAAGGUACUCCUUCGGGGUUGUAGGACCACGACAUAUUCGACCAUACUGGAUAGUAGAACAGCCUGGAAAGGCUGGCCGUAGAAGGUGAAAGCCCUGUAGACGAAAUCCAGCGUGGGAAUUAGUGGGAUCCUGAGUAAUACAUCACACGUGGAACGAUGUAUGAAUCAGCGCGGACCACCGCGCAAGGCUAAAUACUAGUUGGCGACCGAUAGUGAACAAGUACCGCGAGGGAAAGGUGAAAAGAACCGCUGUGAGCGGAGUGAAAUAGAACCUGAAACCGUAUGUCUACAAAGUGUCAGAGCAGAGCAAUCUGCGAUGGCGUGCCUUUUGUUUAAUGAGUCUGCGAGUCAGUGUUUGUGGCAAGACUAAGGGCUUCCGGCCCGGAGUCGCAGCGAAAGCAAGUCCGAAUAGGGCGAAUUAAGUCGCAGGUACUGGACCCGAAGCGGAGGUGACCUACCCUUGGCCAGGUUGAAGCAUGGGUAAAACCAUGUGGAGGACCGAACAGGUGAACGUUGAAAAGUUCUCUGAUGAGCUGAGGGUAGGAGUGAAAGGCUAAUCAAACCCCGUGAUAGCUGGUUCUCUUCGAAAUGCAUUUAGGUGCAGCGUCACGUGCUGAUGCGCGGGGGUAGAGCACUGACAAGGCUAGGGGGCACACCCGCUUACCAAACCUUAUCAAACUCCGAAUACCGUGCAAUGGAACGUGGCAGUGAGACAGUGGGGGAUAAGCUUCAUUGUCGAGAGGGAAACAACCCAGACCAGCAGCUAAGGUGCCUAAAUAACGCUCAGUGGAAAGGAUGUGGGAUUACACAGACAGUGAGGAUGUUGGCUUAGAAGCAGCCACCAUUUAAAAAAUGCGUAAUAGCUUACUCAUCGAGUGAUCCUGCGCCGAAAAUGAUUGGCGAUCAAGCGUUAUACCGAAGCUCUGGACUUUACCUUACGGUAGAGUGGUAGAAGAGCGUUGCAUGCGCGUUGAAGGGUGAUGGCGACUGACCCUGGAGCACAUGCAAGUGAGUAUGCAGACAUGAGUAACGUAAAGCCGGGUGAAAUCCCCGGCCGCCGUAAACCCGAGGUUUCCAGGGCAACGUGUUUCGUCCCUGGGUUAGCCGGGACCUAAGCCGAGGCCGAGAGGCGUAGGCGAUGGAUAUCAGGUUAAUAAUCCUGAGCUCGCGACCCUUAAACUGGGGGGACGCAUGAGAAAAGAUGACUAGGUUAUUGAAUUCCGAGUUGAGUCCACGGACUCAGCGCAUCAUUGGAUCGAGUGCCAAGAAAAGCCCCAGCGUAUGCUAAGCGACCCGUACCGCAAACCGACACAGGUGGGUGGGUAGAAUAUACCAAGGCGUAAGAGUGAAACCUGGUUAAGGAACUCGGCAAAUUAGCCCCGUAACUUCGGAAGAAGGGGUGCCUGCAGCGAUGCAGGCCGCAGAGAAAUGGCCCAACCGACUGUUUAUCAAAAACACAGCACUCUGCAAAGACGCAAGUCGAAGUAUAGGGUGUGACACGUGACCAAUGCCGAAAGAUUAAGGCAAGGGGUUAGCCGCAAGGCGAAGCUCUGAACCCAAGUCCCGGUGAAUGUCGGCCGUAACUAUAACGGUCCUAAGGUAGCGAAAUUCCUUGUCGGGUAAGUUCCGACCUGCACGAAUCGUGAAACGAGUUGGGCACUGUCUCAACCAGGCGCUCAGUGAAAUUGUAGUGGCGGUGAAGAUGCCGCCUACCCGCAGAAGGACGGAAAGACCCUAUAGACCUU
Molecule: ribosomal RNA, 2021 nt
Filed under: metagenome
Description: bacterial LSU rRNA
Rfam family: Bacterial large subunit ribosomal RNA
Source: RNAcentral